RNAcentral lists this ribosomal RNA (305 nucleotides) under Candidatus Azospirillum massiliensis. RNAcentral describes it as "bacterial SSU rRNA". It matches the Rfam family "Bacterial small subunit ribosomal RNA", at positions 1044 to 1351 of the family's 1533-position model. Lineage: Bacteria; Pseudomonadati; Pseudomonadota; Alphaproteobacteria; Rhodospirillales; Azospirillaceae. The record is from RNAcentral.
CAUGGCUGUCGUCAGCUCGUGUCGUGAGAUGUUGGGUUAAGUCCCGCAACGAGCGCAACCCCCACUGUUAGUUGCCAGCAUUUAGUUGGGCACUCUAGCAGAACUGCCGGUGACAAGCCGGAGGAAGGCGGGGAUGACGUCAAGUCCUCAUGGCCCUUACGGGUUGGGCUACACACGUGCUACAAUGGUGGUGACAGUGGGCAGCGACCACGCGAGUGGAAGCGAAUCUCCAAAAGCCAUCUCAGUUCGGAUUGCACUCUGCAACUCGGGUGCAUGAAGUUGGAAUCGCUAGUAAUCGCGGAUCA